AGUGAACGCUGGCGGUAGGCCUAACACAUGCAAGUCGAACGGCAGCACAGUAAGAGCUUGCUCUUACGGGUGGCGAGUGGCGGACGGGUGAGGAAUACAUCGGAAUCUACUUUUUCGUGGGGGAUAACGUAGGGAAACUUACGCUAAUACCGCAUACGACCUACGGGUGAAAGCAGGGGAUCUUCGGACCUUGCGCGAUUGAAUGAGCCGAUGUCGGAUUAGCUAGUUGGCGGGGUAAAGGCCCACCAAGGCGACGAUCCGUAGCUGGUCUGAGAGGAUGAUCAGCCACACUGGAACUGAGACACGGUCCAGACUCCUACGGGAGGCAGCAGUGGGGAGUAUUGGACAAUGGGCGCAAGCCUGAUCCAGCCAUACCGCGUGGGUGAAGAAGGCCUUCGGGUUGUAAAGCCCUUUUGUUGGGAAAGAAAAGCUGUAGGUUAAUACCCCGCUGCUCUGACGGUACCCAAAGAAUAAGCACCGGCUAACUUCGUG
RNAcentral lists this ribosomal RNA (492 nucleotides) under uncultured bacterium. RNAcentral's name for it is "partial 16S ribosomal RNA". It matches the Rfam family "Bacterial small subunit ribosomal RNA", at positions 29 to 507 of the family's 1533-position model. The record is from RNAcentral.